UCUCUGACGAACUGUACUAUGUACCUGUAUUUGAAAUAAGUAUCAUCUAGUAUUUUGUAACUACUACAUCAAAGUAAUUCUUAGUGACAAGGAAAGGGCAAAAGUUAAUCCGGACACUGAUAUUCAUGUUUCCUUAAAAAGCUGCCACAACCAUUAACUCUUCCAUUGUCGGGAGAAAUAUUAAGAAAUCAAUGUAGGAUUAUAGUCCAUGAAGUAGGCACUUCAGUUUCAGCAUGAUACUCUAAUUCUUUUCACUAACUUCUUUGGUUUAAAAUGAAAACCAAAAUGUAAAUUUUAAACCAUUGCAUGGGGCUCCAUCAAGGAUCGGCACUUAGCCCUCUCUUAUUUGCCUUGGUGAUGGAUGCUCUAACUCGACAUAUUCAAGGGGAUGUACCUUGGUGUAUGCUAUUUGCUGAUGACAUAGUCUUGAUAGACGAGACGAGGUUGGUGUUAUGGAGACAGACUCUUGAGUCUAAGGGUUUCAAAAUAAGUAGAUCUAAGACAGAAUACCCGGAGUGCAAGUUUAGCGCCGAGUCGAGCGAAGUAGGCAGGGACGUGAUGAUUGGAUCUCAGGU
Molecule: long non-coding RNA, 575 nt
Filed under: Nicotiana benthamiana
Lineage: Eukaryota; Viridiplantae; Streptophyta; Magnoliopsida; Solanales; Solanaceae
Description: long non-coding RNA (NBEN_LNC033832)
Source: RNAcentral